AUUGAACGCUGGCGGCAGGCCUAACACAUGCAAGUCGAGCGGAUGAAGGGAGCUUGCUCCUGGAUUCAGCGGCGGACGGGUGAGUAAUGCCUAGGAAUCUGCCUGGUAGUGGGGGAUAACGUCCGGAAACGGGCGCUAAUACCGCAUACGUCCUGAGGGAGAAAGUGGGGGAUCUUCGGACCUCACGCUGUCAGAUGAGCCUAGGUCGGAUUAGCUAGUUGGUGGGGUAAAGGCCUACCAAGGCGACGAUCCGUAACUGGUCUGAGAGGAUGAUCAGUCACACUGGAACUGGGACACGGUCAAGGCUCCUACGGGAGGGAGCAGUGGGGAAUAUUGGGCAAUGGGCGAAAGCCUGAUCCAGUCAUGCCGCGUGUGUGAAGGAGGUCUUCGGAUUGUAAAGCACUUUAAGUUGGGAGGAAGGGCAUUAAGUUAAUACCUUGCUGUUUUGACGUUACCAACAGAAUAAGCACCGGCUAACUUCGUG
RNAcentral lists this ribosomal RNA (484 nucleotides) under uncultured bacterium. RNAcentral describes it as "partial 16S ribosomal RNA". It matches the Rfam family "Bacterial small subunit ribosomal RNA", at positions 30 to 507 of the family's 1533-position model. The record is from RNAcentral.